This is a long non-coding RNA of Phyllopteryx taeniolatus (common seadragon), 3355 nucleotides long. RefSeq lists it as uncharacterized. NCBI's taxonomy places the organism in Eukaryota, Metazoa, Chordata, Actinopteri, Syngnathiformes, Syngnathidae. The transcript has 3 exons. The record is from RefSeq and is a predicted model, not a curated record.
UAUGUGGCCUGCAAAAGUCAUCAUUUUUUUUCCCCGUGAUUUCUGUUAAAAAGAAGAAGAAAAAAAGCUUAACUAUCGACACUGUAGUUGAUGUUCUGACUUACACGCCAUACGUUUUCAAAAAGAUUUGAAUGAAAAACAAUGGCAGAAAUGGUAAUAUAAGCAUAUUUGUAAAUGCCUCACGUACCAAGGGGUAUUUGUCAUCCAUGAUCUGCUUUAUCGUAUGGAUCUGGUACACGUCAGGCUGUCGAAGUGGUCUCGGUGUUGUAGUAUCGGAGCAUUUUUAUGAGUCCAAGUACAGGCGUGCAGUAUUGGCACUAGUACAGGCCUAUUCAGAGUGCGUUGAAUAUAUCUGUUUUGCCUUUUUUGUUCUCAUUUUGCACCUAAAACUUGAAAAGGUUUUGCAUGAUAAAAAUGCCGAUCAAAUGCAGGCGCAAUUGUGUAAGGUAAUUUGGAUUAUUGGCGUUCCCACACAACAUAUUAUAUCAGACAAGACACGUAACUGCCUCGUGCUCAAGUCACACGCUGGACUGUGGUGCUUGUCUAAUUCCCACAUUCCCUUAAAAGAAGAGAAACUAUUGAUCUCACACACACAAAAAUAAGAUGCUGCUGUUAGACUAACUUUCAUUCAAUCUCACCCUGUUUACACAAAAGACAAGCAGUUUGUUUGGCCUUUUGAUCCCUUUACUGUAAAAAUGUAAAACAUUAAAGCAUGGAAAAGAACCCAACCAGGAUUUUUGGCACAUUUAUGUGCUUUCACUGUUCGAACUGGCCACGGGGUGACCACAACUGCAAUGCGGUCCGUGAUGAAAACCAAAAAGUUUGACUCACUUGUACUAAAGGGUUUUAUUGUGUAACUGGUCUGGGGGCAAACAAGGGUGUUUAUUGCAGUAUAGUAUAAAAUGGAAAUGAGAUAAGGGCGUGGGAGUGUGUUGCAGGAAAGCGCCCAGCAGGGUGCACGUGGACGCCAUAAAGAAAAGAUGUCAGAGAAGACAAAGGCUGCGGGGGAUUGCUGUAAACCGCGCCUGGAGCCACCGGCAAAUGGCCAUCAUUCUGCAGAGCAAUGACGACGUCAGAUGGGACCGUGGACCAAUCUGACCACAGCGAUUCCAUACUUCCUCUUUCAAACAUUGUUGUUUGCAGUCAUCCGUGACAUGAUCCCGCCCUCGUAGCCGACGGUGACGAGGCACCCGGACUUCAAACCUAUCGUGGGUCCCAGUUCUCACUUCGAACAUUGCAUAAGUAUUUGGACAGAUAAGACAAGGUCACAGCCUUCCUGUUUAAGGGAGGCAAAUGUUAUUUAUAGAAUUGCUUUGCUUGACACAUUGCCAGCUGAAGUUAGGACCCUGACCUCACGGAAGGGGGAGAUAGCUACUUUAAUCGUCACGCGUCUCACCAUUUGAAACUUUUUGUCGACAGACAAGACAAAUCAUCAGACGAGGUAAAGGACAUGCAGGAACAACUUUUGAAGUUACAAUUGGCCCAGGCCCGCAAAGUGGCCAUUGAACAAAAAAAAAUUAUCAAUAAAUGGAAGCAGAAAAGCAGAUGUGGAUGGCGUAGGGGUCAACGAGGGGACGAGGCGGGAGUCUUGACAGGGGAUACACCAACGGGGGCAGGGGAAGCGCUCAUACUGUGGUCAGUGCGAACACUGGUAGCGUCAAUGUAAUGCUCCCAGACUGAUGCGACAGAGACCUCCAGUGGGACCCGGAGAGGCCCCACCCCAAAGAGGAGGCUACAGAGAUCUGCUCAUCAAAACCAGGGCUACCAUCCUUUGCAGCCCGGACGGACUGACGAUACGGUUCCCAGAUGGGACCGUGAUGAACUGAGAGUGGAAAAUUGUCCGCCGGGUGGAACAUGGUGCAACAUGACGUUCCGGAAGCGACCGCUGACAUAUAUUGGGCCCGACUUAAAGCGGAAGCCCUGAAUCGACUAUCUUGCCUCCGACAGCCCUCCGCUCGAUCCCCUCCAUCUCACACUGCACUAUGAUAAAAAUGACGAUUUUGUUUACAGACAAGCCUUUGAGUCAAUACAGGAUGAAAACUGUUCAGGUAUUUACAUAGGGAAGCAAGGUGUGGCAGCUGCCUCCACUUUGACGCCAGAGCAGAGUGAGUGGUUUAUGAUGAGUUUCACAUCUUUUCCACACAUUUCACUUCCACUUGCACUAGGUCAUGAAGCCUGACAACUGGGACGGAUGGUAAGGAAAUGUCAUUUGGCAAAUGAUUGGCAACAAGGUCAAAUAACUCAAUGUGUUGUACUCUCCUAGUACUGAAUGUUUUUGAAUUCAGGGUGCCACGGCGGGCGGGGAAUAUUGGAGCAUGUCACUUUGGCGCGAUUCCAUGGCAGAGAGCUCUCGGACCAUGAGGACGCCGCACAGCUGUUGAAUUCGCUGCCGGACUCACGGCCUACAGAUGGGGGUCUAUGUGCAUCCGUGACUUCGGUAACGUUCGAGGUAGACCCGACUGCUUUUGUUAACGUUCCGUAGUAUCCCUGUAAACGAGUGGCCGCUGAAGACAUCGCGGAGACCCAAAUACUGAAUUCCAAACGCUUUGGUCCACAAAGGAUUUUAUGAAACCCUCCGCUCGAGCUGCAGAACUGCUGGCCAUGUGCAGGGCACUGGAGUUAUCUGAAGGUCAGAGUGUUACUAUUUAUUCAUGGUGCGGCUGAUGCUGCGGCUACAUUUUCAAAAAAUGUAGCACGCUAUCAAAUGGACGAGGGAGGAAAUUAUUUUGUUAAACAGGAUCAGUUAAUUGCCUUUCUCCCUGCAGUAACAGUUGAUGUAGUGCGUGGCGCCAAAGGAAGACAAACGUGAGUAUGACGACAAGGAGAAGCUGCGCCUUGUCCCUCGGGGUGGCCCGAGGAGACUGGUCUUAACUACAGGAAAGUUCAUGUGGUUAGUGGUUGAGGAAGCACACGCCCCAACACAUGAGAGUUGUGUGUCAAUGCUGUACAAGCUGCGCUUUUGGUGGCACCCUGAUCUUCUGCGCAAGGUAAAACAUUUUUGUGUUUUUUUGUGAUUUUCGCGUUGGCCCUACAACGAAGGGGGAACCGCAACACACUGAGAUGGGCCGAUGCCAGAAUGAUGUGGCGGUAAUGGACUGAACCGACAAUGGUGGUCCCAGUCCAAGGCAUAAGGCUGCCAGAACUAAGACAAGGGCGUGCAAAAUCCUCUCGCACCCUCCGCACCCCGGUCACCAGUUCUUCCAGCUCCUUCCCUCAGUUUUGUCUAGGAGCGGCUGUUUGAUCCACUGGUUGACCAGCCGCUGUCCCUGAGGCGUGCGGCACUUGUUCAGCAGACCGGCCAACGAGUGGGCACCGCUGGUGUCGUCGGGUGCACCCUGCGGGAAGGCAACGGUGU